UUGUUGCAGUUAAAAAGCUCGUAGUUGAAUAUCUGGUAUAACGUACCUGGCCCGCAGCCUUUAGGCUUGUGUGUGCCGGCGCACGUUUGCCAUCUUUCUAGAAAACGGGUCUGCCAUUAACUUGGUGGGUUCGGGAUCUAGAUCAUUUACUUUGAAAAAAUUAGAGUGUUUAAAGCAAGCAAUUGCUCUGAAUACAUUAGCAUGGAAUAAUAAUCUAGGACCUCGGUUCUAUUUUGUUGGUUUCUAAAACUGAAGUAAUGAUUGAUAGGGACAGUUGGGGGUGCUAGUAUUGGCCGGCCAGAGGUGAAAUUCUUGGAUUCGGUCAAGACUAACUUAUGCGAAAGCAUUCACCAAGGAUGUCUUCUUUAAUCAAGAACGAAAGUUGGGGGAUCGAAGACGAUCAGAUACCGUCGUAGUCUCAACCAUAAACUAUGCCAACUAGGGAUGGGUGAACGUUGCUUUUUCGACUUCAUCCGCACCUUAUGAGAAAUCAAAGUCUUUGGGUUCCGGGGGGAGUAUGGUCGCAAGGCUGAAACUUAAAGGAAUUGACGGAAGGGCACCACCAGGAGUGGAGCCUGCGGCUUAAUUUGACUCAACACGGGAAAACUUACCAGGUCCGGACAUAGUGA
This 629-nucleotide ribosomal RNA is filed under the name uncultured eukaryote. Its description in RNAcentral is "SSU rRNA". It matches the Rfam family "Eukaryotic small subunit ribosomal RNA", at positions 610 to 1236 of the family's 1831-position model. The record is from RNAcentral.